RNAcentral lists this long non-coding RNA (452 nucleotides) under Zonotrichia albicollis (white-throated sparrow). RNAcentral describes it as "lncRNA (ENSZALG00000003067.1)". Lineage: Eukaryota; Metazoa; Chordata; Aves; Passeriformes; Passerellidae. The record is from RNAcentral.
GCCCAAAAAUUCCAACCGGAAUUCCCAACAUCCCAACCCAAAAACCCCAAAAUUCCAAGAAUUCCCAUGGAAAAUUCCAACCCAAAAAUUCCAACCCAAAAUUCCCAAAAUUCCAAGAAUUCCCAUGGAAAAUUCCAAUCAGAAUUCCCACAACUUCAGUGUGGAAAUCCCAAAAAUUCCAAGCCCAAAAUCCCAAAAAUUCCUAUGGAAAAUUUCCAGCCAGGACCUGCAGAAUUCCCUAAAAAUUCCAACCCAAAAUUCCCAAAAAAUUCCAACCCAGAAUUCCCUAAAAUUCCAGCCUGGAAAUCCCAAAAUUCCAACCAAAAAAUUCCCAAAAAAUCCCAAAAAAUCCCCCAAAAAUUCCAAAAAAAUUCCCAAAAAAUUCCCUAAAAAUUCCCAAAAAAAUCUCAAAAAAUUGCCAAAAAAUCUCCAAAAAAUUCCCAAUAUUUCCC